RNAcentral lists this non-coding RNA (90 nucleotides) under endosymbiont of unidentified scaly snail isolate Monju. Its description in RNAcentral is "Glycine riboswitch aptamer". It matches the Rfam family "Glycine riboswitch aptamer". From Rfam's summary of the family: This family represents the bacterial glycine riboswitch. Glycine riboswitches usually consist of two metabolite-binding aptamers domains with similar structures in tandem. The aptamers cooperatively bind glycine to regulate the expression of downstream genes. The record is from Rfam by way of RNAcentral. RNAcentral also lists the same sequence under 1 other name. Lineage: Bacteria; Pseudomonadati; Pseudomonadota; Gammaproteobacteria.
UCAAGUCGCGUGGGAGAGACCGCCGCAAGGCGGCGCCGAAGGCGCAAGUUCCGCCCGGAAUCGCUCAGGCAAAAGGACCACGACAGGCGG